UCACCAUUGGUUAACUAGUCUGAAUUGACAGCUGCUCCUCUAGCCAAUCAGUCGAAGGGGGAGAUUACGUCACUCCAGUGCGACUCAUGACUUCUGUGGCUAACUCGUACAGGUGUGAAGAUGGAUAGCCCCCGUCAGCUGGCAAAUGCUGGACAGUCUCAGGCAGUGACAAGGCUGCUUUUAGAGAGACUCUUGUCACGAUUACAGGAGGCCAUGCAGCGCUUGCCUCUGGACCUGGAUUAUUUAUAUUUUAUUUGCACAAAUGAUUUGACAUUGAUCACUUCACAUGCAAGUCGUGAACAUGUGCCUCAUGUAUGAGGUAAUGCAGUGCCUUUCAAACCUGUGUUCUGUUCUUUCUAAUUGCCUGGACACAAGACGUACCCCUUCAGUUGUUGUAAAUGAAAUUGCUGGACCAACGGGACGUCCCAAAAUCACUGUAUCUGAACAGCAUCUCAGACGAUUGAUAGAAGUUGGUCUGACUGUAUCUUGCAUUUCAAAACUGCUUGGCAUGUCAACAGCAACUGUGGAACGAAGAAUGCAAGAGUUUUGUAUUAGUGUGAGAGGAACAUACAGUCAAUUGACUGACGAGGAGUUAGACAAUCUUGUGGUUGCAAUCAAAACAACAUCACCACACUCAGGCUACAGAAUGAUGAGAGGACACUUGAAAGCUCGUGGUCAUCGAGUCCAGUGGAGCAGAGUCUGGGAUUCUAUGAAUAGAGUUGAUUCAGCUGGAGUCCUUGCUAGAUUGUCACAACUUGGACAUGUUGUGAGAAGAUCAUAUUCAGUACAGGCUCCUCUAUCCCUUAUGCAUUUGGACACCAACCACAAGCUGAUCAGAUAUGGCUUAGUAAUAUUUGGGGGCAUAGAUGGCUACUCAAGAAAGAUCAUGUAUCUGGGGGCCACAAACAACAACAGAGCAGAGACUGCUCUAGGUUUCUUUCUCGAGGCAGUAGAGAAGCAUGGAGUUCCUUCACGGUAUGUAUGCACAUUUUAGUCUGUAUGUCUGUCCUUAUUAAAUGUAUUGUCUUAAUGUGUAGGGUAAGAGCAGACCGAGGUGUAGAAAAUGUGGACAUAGCAAGGUGGAUGUUCACUGUUCAGGGCUGUGGCAGAGGAAGUUUCAUUUCGGGGAAGAGCGUUCAUAAUCAGAGGAUCGAACGAUUGUGGAAAGACGUGUGGAUGUCGGUUUCAAAUGUGUAUUAUGAUGUUCUACAUAGUAUGGAAGAGAGUGGCUCUCUUGACCCAUCAAACAGCCUUCAUCUCUUCUGUGCACAUUAUGCUUUUCUUCCUCGCCGCCAAAGAGACCUAGAGACCUUCACUGAUGCAUGGAAUGACCAUUCCAUCCGUACAGAACAAAAUCUUUCCCCCAAUCAGCUGUGGGAAAUAGGACUUGCACAGAAUGCAGUCAAUGUUUCAUGCGACAUGGAGAACUUACCCACUGGAGGAGCAGAAUGUUGGAG
Molecule: long non-coding RNA, 1457 nt
Organism: Clarias gariepinus (North African catfish)
Lineage: Eukaryota; Metazoa; Chordata; Actinopteri; Siluriformes; Clariidae
Exons: 6
Source: RefSeq, a predicted model, not a curated record